UGAACUGUUCACACCCACCAGCUGCCA
RNAcentral lists this non-coding RNA (27 nucleotides) under Mus musculus (house mouse). The record is from RNAcentral. Lineage: Eukaryota; Metazoa; Chordata; Mammalia; Rodentia; Muridae.